CUCCCCCCACGCGUCUAACGCGAAGCAGUUCCUGGCCUGGCCCUGCGGCGAGGCUAUCCCCGCUCAGAGUGCGUGGGCGCAGGAGACCAGCCUGUCCCUUCCCCCGCAGAUCCCAGCUUGUUCUUCAAGACCUUGUCAGCAGAAGCCGGCCAGGGAAGCAGGUGCUCCUAAUAGAGAUGGCUCUCCCUGCUCUACACAGACUGAGGCCUCCUAGGCCAUCCAGUUCCAUCUUUCUGAGAGAGGGAGCCUCCACAGGGCUGGAAGGGGAUGCAGGUUCUAGGUUAUUGAUCCUGAAGACUGAACCUGUGGAGUAAAAGAGGAGUGAGGGGACCAGGUUUAUGGAGAACAGACAGGGGCAGGCCAAGGAGGAGAUGGCCAGGGUCUCUGAAGACAGACUGUGUCAUAGUUACCCUUCUGUUGCUGUGAAGAGACAUGUGACCGAUGGAGCACGUACCGAGACUCUCAGCAUCGGAUGGGGUGAAGAAACAAAAGAAAUCCAAAGACAGAAACGACAGGAAAUGAGGAUAUUGAAAACUGACACUACUAUAUCUACAUUUGGUUUAGGUUUUUUUUUUUUCCUUUUUGGAAGUUGUAUGUAAGAGAAAAAAAAUCACAAAAUGCUUUCAUUUCUCUGUGAUUGAGCAAACUCGUAAAAUAUUAAAGUAUUGAUUAAUAAUUGAUUAGAACUAACCUCACUGGAGCCAAUCAACCAUUUGGCAGGAUCGCUUUAAACUUUUAGGGGCUUUUAGCCCCCCUGGCUUCUAACCUUCCUCUUGUCUGAUUCAUUCAGGACUGAGCAGCGCUUCAGUCUGUUGGACAUGUGAUGUCACACUAUCCCUAUAGAACUGUGAGGUG
This 855-nucleotide long non-coding RNA is filed under the name Mus spicilegus (steppe mouse). RNAcentral's name for it is "lncRNA (ENSMSIG00000016085.1)". Lineage: Eukaryota; Metazoa; Chordata; Mammalia; Rodentia; Muridae. The record is from RNAcentral.